GACAGAGGUUGCAAACGUUGUUCGGAAUUACUGGGCAUAAAGCGCACGUAGGCGGUCCGUUAAGUCAUGUGUGAAAUCCCCCGGCUCAACCGGGGAAUUGCGCCUGAUACUGGCGGGCUAGAGGUCGAUAGGGGUGAGCGGAACUCCAGGUGGAGCGGUGAAAUGCGUAGAUAUCUGGAGGAACACCGGUGGCGAAGGCGGCAUCCUGGACCGGCAUUGACGCUGAGGCGCGAAAGCUAGGGGAGCAAACGGG
Molecule: ribosomal RNA, 253 nt
Filed under: uncultured bacterium
Lineage: Bacteria
Description: partial 16S ribosomal RNA
Rfam family: Bacterial small subunit ribosomal RNA
Source: RNAcentral